Molecule: ribosomal RNA, 441 nt
Filed under: uncultured bacterium
Lineage: Bacteria
Description: bacterial SSU rRNA
Rfam family: Bacterial small subunit ribosomal RNA
Source: RNAcentral
AACGCGAAGAACCUUACCCAGACUUGACAUGUAGGAGACAGCGGCAGAAAUGUCGUCUUCCGUAAGGACUGCUACACAGGUGCUGCAUGGCUGUCGUCAGCUCGUGCCGUGAGGUGUUGGGUUAAGUCCCGCAACGAGCGCAACCCUUAUCAUUAGUUACCAGCACUUCGGGUGGGAACUCUAAUGAGACUGCCUGGGUUAACCAGGAGGAAGGUGAGGAUGAGGUCAAGUCAGCAUGGCCCUUAUGUCUGGGGCAACACACGUGCUACAAUGGUCGGUAUAGAAGGCAGCAAGACCGUAAGGUGGAGCAAAUCCCCAAAGCCGGCCUCAGUUCGGAUUGUAGUCUGCAACUCGACUACAUGAAGUUGGAAUUGCUAGUAAUGGCGCGUCAGCUACAGCGCCGUGAAUACGUUCCCGGGCCUUGUACACACCGCACUACUA